Eriocheir sinensis (Chinese mitten crab) is the source of this 1111-nucleotide long non-coding RNA. RefSeq lists it as uncharacterized. NCBI's taxonomy places the organism in Eukaryota, Metazoa, Arthropoda, Malacostraca, Decapoda, Varunidae. The record is from RefSeq and is a predicted model, not a curated record. The transcript is spliced from 3 exons.
GAGGGAGAGGGAGGGAGUUACAUAGAUGGAGAUGAAGGUAUAUAGAUUCACAGGUCCCUUUUUGGUAUGUGUAUUGUUUGAACUGAAGAUAGAUAGGUAGUGAGAGAGAAAGAGAGAGGGAGAGGGAGGGAGUUACAUAGAUGGAGAUGAAGGUAUAUAGAUUCACAGGUCCCUUUUUGGUAUGUGUAUUGUUUGAACUGAAGAUAGAUAGGUAGUGAGAGAGAAAGAGAGAGGGAGAGGGAGGGAGUUACAUAGAUGGAGAUGAAGGUAUAUAGAUUCACAGGUCCCUUUUUGGUAUGUGUAUUGUUUGAACUGAAGAUAGAUAGGUAGUGAGAGAGAAAGAGAGAGGGAGAGGGAGGGAGUUACAUAGAUGGAGAUGAAGGUAUAUAGAUUCACAGGUCCCUUUUUGGUAUGUGUAUUGUGUGAACUAAAGAUAGAUAGAUAGAGAGAGAGAUAGAUAAUGAGAGAGAAAGAGAGAGAGGGAGAAGUAGUGAAUGGAUAAACGUAAGAGAGGAGGAGGAGGAGGAGGAGGAGGAGGAGGAGGAGGUAGAAGAAAAAGAGAACUAUUGUGAGAGAGACAAAACAGAAAGGUUACUAAGAGAGAGAGAGAGAGAGAGAGAGAGAGAGAGAGAGAGAGAGAGAGAGAGAGAGAGAGAGAGAGAGAGAGAGAGAGAGGUUACGUAUGUGCACUAUCAUUUAUUAUUAACAUCACCACCACCACCAUCACCACCACCACCACCACUACCACCACCACCACCACCACCAUACCUGAUCGAUGCAUUGAGGUCAUUUUAGUGUGUCAGAGGAAGGCAAGAUCGACCUAAUGGAUUAUGGAUUGAUUACCGAGUCACUUUCAACCUUAUGUUUUACCUUCAUUCUCUCUCUCUCUCUCUCUCUCUCUUCUUUUUUUCACUUUCUCACCCUCUUCCUCUCUCCUCGCCAAUCCUCUUCCUCCUCCUUCCUUCCUUCCUUCUCCCCUUCCUCCCUAAACCUCUUCUUUCCCAGACUUAAUUUCCUCCCAAACUUCCCCUUCUUUAUCUCCUUCCCAUUCUCCCUUAUUCCUUCCAUCCCCAACCUUCCUCCUCUUCUUCCCCAUGUGUCCCUUCUCCCC